Long non-coding RNA from Heterocephalus glaber (naked mole-rat), 1532 nucleotides. RefSeq lists it as uncharacterized. Lineage: Eukaryota; Metazoa; Chordata; Mammalia; Rodentia; Bathyergidae. The record is from RefSeq and is a predicted model, not a curated record.
AAAUUAUUAUUGCAAUAGUGACAACGACAAUAAUUGUAACUGCUCUCCUCAUUGAGCCCUGCAGGCAUUACAAGUCUUAUAAACUUUAACUCAAUUUUAACAAGGUCCCAUGUGGCAUUUUCACUGAAAUAAAGGGUUUCUCUGCUCAAAGAGUUUAACAACUACUGAUCUGGUCCAACUCCGUCAUGAAAGCUACAGAGAGAGGCAUCCUCAGGGGACUCACCAAGCAAGGGACAGAGCUGGGGUUGGAUACUUGAGGACAUCCUCCAGGAGUUGCACUCACUCACAACUGUGACCUGGGAGCUCAUUGAGUCAUAGACCAGCCUUGUAGAGAUGAGUGCCCAAACUACAACCCCAAACCCACUUAUUUAUCCCAAAGUGCCAACACUGCAAUUAAACCUGAAUACUGAGGUUUUAGUUUAGAAAAAAACAACUCAUACAUUAACAUCUUUUGUCUUUAAAAAAAAAAAAGCAUGAUAACAUGGAUGCCGUAGGUUUGCCACCACUGUCAUAGACUAUACCCUAUUCAUCUGAGUCCAGAAAACCAGGAAGAACACCUGAGACAGGCAGGAGAUGGACAGACCAUACUUCCUAUCAUGUGCCUGUUCUGAAAUCCCAGGGUUGUUCAAAUCUAGAAAACUUGGUUGACAUUUCAAAUAAUGCAAAGUGUAGGCCUCCCUGGUCUGUGUCCAUAUAGUUGGCUUUAUUAAAACCCACUCCCCUGUCUCUUGCAAUGAGUGUAUGUUCUACACAAACUGUGUGUGUCCCCCUUGCUUUGGAGGGACAUUCAUUCAUUCAUUUAAAAAGUUCCAGUGAGAAAAAAAGUUUUCGUGAGCACUUUCUAUACAUUAUUAACAAUAACAACAAUCAUAAUCCAUUCAAUAAGCAUUCAUGUGUCAAGCUCACUUCCAGGUAUGAGAGACAGAGCCAGGAAUAAGACAGGUACCUUCUGACUCUAGAUUUUUCAUUCCAGCACCCUACCAGGGACCCUAACAUGUGUGGAUGCUUCCUGCAUGCCAGGCAUUGUGCUCAGGAUCUCUCACUUAGGCUCCACAACAGCCCUGUGAAUAAGUGCUACUGGUUUCCCCAUCUUCCAGAUGAGGAAAUGGAGGUCCUUCCUCAUCUUCGCCUGAAGGAUUCCCUGGGAGGAGCUGAGAAUGGAAAUAAAGCUUUGCCAGGAAGUCAGAGCCAGCUUCUAGGGUCACCAUGCUCAUCUGUAUCAAGCUGGAAGAGGGAAACAGAAUGGAGAGUUGAAUGUUGGAUGUUUUUAUGGCCAAGUGUGAGGUGGCUCACAUCAAUGUUCCAUUGACUAGAUCUUGGUCACAUAGCCACACUUCAUUGCAAAGAAGGAGGAGACAGUGGUCUGUCUACCAGCCAAGCAUGAAGACAAAUGGGUUCUGAUGAACUCAUGACAGUAUCUUCCCAACCUUUCAUGUUCCAGCCCUGCCCUUGCAUGUCUCAUAUCACUCACCUCACCCUAAUUCAACAAAUUCUGUCAUUAAUUUAAAUGUUGAUAUCUUAUUCCUUAUAGU